This 252-nucleotide ribosomal RNA is filed under the name Stylogaster westwoodi. RNAcentral's name for it is "partial 12S ribosomal RNA". The record is from RNAcentral. Lineage: Eukaryota; Metazoa; Arthropoda; Insecta; Diptera; Conopidae.
CGCGGGGACUUUCUUUUUCUUGUAUGACAGUUUAUAUACCGUCGUUAUAAGAAUAUUUUAUAAGAAUUAUUAAUAUUCUAUAAUUAUUAUUUAAAUUUAUAUCAGAUCAAGGUGUAGCUAAUGAUAAAGAGUUGGUGGACUACAAUAAGUAAUUUAUUUAAACGAAUAUAUGAUUGAAAUUUUGUAUUGAAGGUGGAUUUGGAAGUAAAUUUGUGUAUAUUGUCAAAUUGAUAGAUUAUGAAUAUAAAUAAU